Molecule: ribosomal RNA, 95 nt
Filed under: Paenibacillus sp. F411
Lineage: Bacteria; Bacillati; Bacillota; Bacilli; Caryophanales; Paenibacillaceae
Description: partial 16S ribosomal RNA
Rfam family: Bacterial small subunit ribosomal RNA
Source: RNAcentral
UUCAUGGAGAGUUUGAUCCUGGCUCAGGACGAACGCUGGCGGCGUGCCUAAUACAUGCAAGUCGAGCGGACUUGAUGAGGAGCUUGCUCCUCUGA